GAUGAAGAACGUAGCUAAAUGCGAUACGUAAUGUGAAUUGCAGAAUUCAGUGAAUCAUCGAGUCUUUGAACGCACAUUGCGCCCCCUGGUAUUCCGGGGGGCAUGCCUGUCCGAGCGUCAUUGCUGCCCUCAAGCACGGCUUGUGUGUUGGGCCUCCGUCCUCCUCCCGGGGGACGGGCCCGAAAGGCAGCGGCGGCACCGCGUCCGGUCCUCGAGCGUAUGGGGCUUCGUCACCCGCUCUUGUAGGCCCGGCCGGCGCUUGCCGACACAUCAAUCUUUUUUCCAGGUUGACCUCGGAUCAGGUAGGGAUACCCGCUGAACUUAAGCAUAUCAAUAAGCGGAGGA
RNAcentral lists this unclassified non-coding RNA (345 nucleotides) under soil metagenome. Its description in RNAcentral is "partial contains 5.8S ribosomal RNA, internal transcribed spacer 2, and large subunit ribosomal RNA". The stretch from base 1 to 120 matches the Rfam family "5.8S ribosomal RNA", at positions 35 to 154 of the family's 154-position model. The record is from RNAcentral.